CAAGAACAAGUAAAACAGUUAUUAGAAAAUAUUGAUACUAGAAUUGAAUCAAUAGUUCAACAAGGCAAAAAUAGCUUAUGAGAUGUGCCUCACAUCUGAGCUAUACGCAUGACUCAAUGACAGCAAUUGGAUGAAGGGAUUUGCCUGUCUUUUAUAAAAGGCUCUAACUCUAAUAUACACACACAUUAGUGUGUGCGUAACUUCUAGGUUUUCUCUUGGGAUGUGUGUGCGUAACUUCUAGGUUUUCUCUUAGGAUCUGCUUGAUUUGAGGAAUUUUCCAUGGAAAAUGGAAAAUUUUCACAUUUUUCCUUGUUUGAUUGCAAGAAUUUUCUUAGCAAUCCAUUUUCCAUCCCUCAUCCUCCCACGUGACCCAUUUUUAUUUUAUUUUUUUGGUUUUAUGGAAAACCAAUUUCUAUGGGAUUGGUGGGAAAUCAGUUUUCCAGGCUUUUUUAAAAAUUUUUUUUUUGGUAAUGGAAAAAAAUUCUAUCCACAAUUGUAACAAAUUCUAUCCAUUUAAUUAACAAUUUUCAUAGAACACAAAGCCAAAUGAACACUAAAAGAUCCAAAAUUUUGACAUUUUCUUGGUAGAAAAUUAUACCAAUCAAAUAUAUUUAAUUGAGAAUUCACAAUAUAACAAGUUCUAGAUAAUUUAAUUCCCUGAAAUUCAUUUUCUUUCCACCCAAAUUCCUUUCUUACAAUCAAAUUAACCCUUAGUGGCUGUUCUCUUUACUGUUUUUGUGCCAUUUUCUGUUUUCAAUUUUUUCAUAGUGAAAACAUGUUCUCUUUCUCAAUUUCAAAAUGAAUUUUUGAAAGGAAAAAAAUUGUGCACAAAAUCAAAACGUCUUUUUAGACGUUUUGAGUGUUUUCAGGCAAAAACACAUAAAUAAUUGAAAACGCGAAAAACGCCUAAAUUCAACUUUUUUCAUUUCCCCCAAAACUCUUCCUCUGAACUAUCGAUCCUUUGAAGUAAAAUCUCAAUCUUUGCAUCCCAAGAACAACAUCAGUAGCAGCAGAGGUCUUCCUUCAAUUCUUCUUCACAAUUCCCGAUAGGCAAAUUAAGGGUUUCUCCAAAAAUGAGGUUUUUGUCCUUUUUAUGCUUUUAAUGUGAUUUUGCUCAAUGGGUUUAGCAUAUGAACCCUUUUUUUGUUUAUUUAGGUGUUAUCGCAUGUUAUUUGGGUAUAAUUAUUUUGUCUGGGAAUUUUAAAUUCUUAUUUUAAGUGUUAUUUUCGUCUUUUUCUAUUUAUUAUAUAACAAAAGGUAGUUUUUUUAAGCAA
This 1274-nucleotide long non-coding RNA is filed under the name Olea europaea subsp. europaea. The record is from RNAcentral. Lineage: Eukaryota; Viridiplantae; Streptophyta; Magnoliopsida; Lamiales; Oleaceae.